CUCAAGGGUUGGGACUGUGCCUGUGUUCUGGGCACCUGCCCAUGCCUGGCAAUUUGAAGAAGCUCAAUUGCUACAUGUUGAAGGAAUGAAUAAUUGCAUGAGCAACCAUCGAUAAUUGCAUGCUACAACCAUCAAACUUGCAGGGUUCUUCCAUGGAAUAAGUGAGCUUCUGCCUCCCCAGCAGAGAGGGACCUUCCCAGAGAAGAUGUCUUGCGCCUCACCUGAUCUUGUUCUGAGAGUAGGAGACUGGAAGAGAAGCGUUCAACUCCCCAAACACAGCUGGGUUUGUUUCGUUUAAUCUCCCAGCCUGUUUUUCUGCUGUCCUCCUGAAGAAUGUUUAAUCUCACAGUUAAAACCACCAAAAGCGACUUUUUUCCCCCUCAACUGCUCAGUAACACAUGACCGUGCAAAUUCGUUUGGCCCCAGCGCCACAAGUCAUAAAAGGCAUCUAGUGGGCGGCAUGAGUCAAUCAGGCCUUUGGACGGUGACGUAACCACAGCUUGUCAGUUUCCCCAUCCAGGCAGCCCCAAUCCCCCAGUGCAGACAUCUGGAGCCAGGGAUUGACAAGUGGAUUCCAGGAUUGGGCCCUGCCUCCCGCCCUGUUCAGUUCCAGCCCAGCCACGGCCGCCGCCAACGAGGACACGCACUGUCUUUCUGCACAUUCCCACGUACACACACCCCCGCAGCCCCCUCUCCACUCAUUCCUGCAUUUCCGGCAAUGUGAAUUCUGACAGCUCGGGCAGUGUCAGCCUCUCCGGUGCAUUCCUCACCACACCACCUCACUGCUCCCGAGCCUGCUGACAGCACUCCCCGCCAUACCUACCAAGCCGAAGGUGCAAGGAACCUCUUGAUCCCCACUGUGUCUUUGUCCCAGGGCCACAGCAAAAUAGCACCCCCCUCCCCCACACACCCUCUAGCCUAAUUUAUUAGACUUUUAAACACAUUUAUUUACUGUGAUAUCUACACCACACCAAACAUCUGGAGGGAAACCGGGAGACAAUCCACCAGGAAUUUAAAUGUUUGUUCUGCAAUGUAACUUUGAAAACCGAACCAGGAAAACUUGACAUCUUUAGCCAAUUGCUUGGUGGUGAGUAGACUUAAGCCAAUAUAUAAUCUGUAAAGGUUGUCCCUCUUUGCCCUCUCUCUAUCCAUGAAACGCAUUCACCAAACAGCCCAGAAAUAUUUCUUUCUUCUCCUCUCAGAGGUAUGUGAAACCAACCUGAAUCAACAACAUAGUUGUUCAACCAGCCUCACUGAGAACGAAGGCAUUUCAGAGCUGGAAAGACGCUAGGGUCUGGGGUCUUAUCUUCCACAUUUAUCUGCCUUAUUAUAAUCCAUCCAGUCAUCCUCUUUGCCCUUGCCAGAUCUCAUCGCUUACACUACCACUACCGAAGGAGCAUAACGUCUGUGACUUUUCUUUUUUUUUUUUUUUUUUUUUGAGAUGGAGUCUUGCUCGGUAACCGGGCUGAAGUGCAGUGGCAGGAUCUUGGCUUACUGCAACCUCUGCUUCCUGGGUUCAAGUGAUUCUCCUGCCUCAGCCUUCUGAGUAGCUGGGACUCCAGGCAUGCGCCACCACGCCCAGUUAAUUUUUGUAUUUUUAGUAGAGAUGGGGUUUCACUAUGUUGGCCAGGUUGGUCUCGAACUCCUGACCUCGUGAUCCAUCUGCCUCGGCCUCCCAAAGUGCUGGGAUGACAGGUGUGAGCCACCGCACCCGGCCACGUCUGUGACUUUUCUAAAGCUUUAAGAUGAUGUCACCCAUAGGCAGAAAGGCCCACUCAUUUCGUGCAUCUGCAGUCACUCUUCUGACGAGGUGCGGCUCUCUUUUGUUCUAUCAAAGAGAAAGCCAGUCUAAAUUAAUGGGAAACUAGAGAAUUAGGUCAUUUUUCAAGAUGAAAUUGCUGGUAGCUUAAGGAAUCAGCUACUUGAAUCCCAUGCUAAAAAAGUGUAACUCCUGAGGAGUGAGCUCUUCUUUCUUCCUUCCAUAAUGUCAGGCACUAAGGGAGGUUCAGAAACACAGAGCAGCAUCUACUCCUUUCUCAACGAGCGUGGGGUCCAGUGCAGUUGGCCCUCAUUUAACAAAUAAUUACACCCAUGCGUGAAAGGUCCAGUGGGGAAACAGUGCGGGGAGCCUCAGGCAGAGCUGAUUCAGGCCUGGGGAGGCACGGGAGCCACAUGUUCAGGGUCCACAGGCCCAGCGGAGUGAUACGGAAGUUUCCAAGAUGGUAAGCCUCUCUCCUGGCCCAUGCUCACCAACGGGACCCCAUUCCUAACCAGGCUUUCCCUCUCUCUCUUUUAAGUGUUCCAGGAAUGUUCCUACCCCUGCGUCUUUGCUGAAGCCCCUCUUGCCUGGGAUGCCCUCUGUCCUCUCUUUCUGCCCACACACAUCCUGCCAGUCCUUCAGACAGGGCCAGCCUCACGGGCAUAGGACCUGAGCAGUUUCACAGGGCCCUAUGCACAGAAGGAUCCCAAGCUCGGUUGAUUGCUCCGAUCUUGCCAUCUUGAAACUCUUUGAUAAUUUUAUCUUUUAUCUUGUGUUUUGGGAGUGAAAUCCAAUGGGAUAUUGGGGCCUGCAAAGGAGAAGAGGAGAUCCGCACAAACCCGUUCCUGGCUGCUGCAUUCACCUCCAGCGUUUGUGAUGCCCCAGAGCACAGAACUCCAGGGAGCCCACGAUGCAGGAGAGUUCAGCGACAUUCACUGAGUACAAGAGAAGUGAGUUACUCCUGCAGCUGAGCACGGGGGGCGCUGGCAACUGCGAAAGGUCUCGCUUUCCAUUCCAACCAGAACUUGCUCCUAGCGCAGACAGAAGGCCGUGGCAUUCUGAGAAACACACAUGAUGAAGGAGCCCUGUCAUAUCCUCUCUUCCUUGCAUCGCUUCCCCGUGUGAGCAACCACUUGUGCUGGAAAUGAUGACAAGGAAGGACCGGGAAAGACAGGGCCACCCGCAGUUCCUUUUCCUUGACGUCUUUCCUUCCUCAUCAGCGAGCUGAGGUGGAGAGCGUUGGUAGAAUGUGUGCAUAAUAAGAAGUGAAAUAAAAACAGUCGAGUUAGUAUUCUACUGUUUCCACUGUUCUGGUGAGAACAAAACACAUAUGCUGUAUAUGCUUUGAAAUACAAAGACUGUUGGGAGGCACCAAUGGACUUUGCAACUGGAGAUCUCCCAACUGGACCAUGUCACUGUUAUGUUUAAUUUGCACUGUGCACAGUAGGUACCCAGUCAACGUUUGUCGAAUUCCAUGGACUGGGCCUUAUACCUCCGAGGAUUUUUCACAGCAGUAGCAUGUGCACAUGCACAGAACGAGAACACAACCAAUGCUUGUUUGCUGGUGAAGACCUGGUCUCAGUAUUUUGCCCAGGAAACCCUUUCUUCAUGGACAGCAUGAGGCAAGCUAUGGCCCUUGCUGUGGUCUCAGUGGUUCAGCACGGAAGAUGAAGAUGACGGGCAGUCUCAGAAUAUUAGCUUUAGAAGGGACUUUGGAUCCUUUUGAUUUUGG
Molecule: long non-coding RNA, 3491 nt
Filed under: Homo sapiens (human)
Lineage: Eukaryota; Metazoa; Chordata; Mammalia; Primates; Hominidae
Description: HSALNT0305479
Source: RNAcentral